This 486-nucleotide ribosomal RNA is filed under the name uncultured bacterium. RNAcentral describes it as "partial 16S ribosomal RNA". It matches the Rfam family "Bacterial small subunit ribosomal RNA", at positions 30 to 507 of the family's 1533-position model. The record is from RNAcentral.
AUUGAACGCUGGCGGCAUGCCUUACACAUGCAAGUCGAACGGCAGCACGGGUGCUUUCACCUGGUGGCGAGUGGCGAACGGGUGAGUAAUACAUCGGAACAUGUCCUGUAGUGGGGGAUAGCCCGGCGAAAGCCGGAUUAAUACCGCAUACGAUCUACGGAUGAAAGCGGGGGACCUUCGGGCCUCGCGCUAUAGGGUUGGCCGAUGGCUGAUUAGCUAGUUGGUGGGGUAAAGGCCUACCAAGGCGACGAUCAGUAGCUGGUCUGAGAGGACGACCAGCCACACUGGGACUGAGACACGGCCCAGACUCCUACGGGAGGCAGCAGUGGGGAAUUUUGGACAAUGGGCGAAAGCCUGAUCCAGCAAUGCCGCGUGUGUGAAGAAGGCCUUCGGGUUGUAAAGCACUUUUGUCCGGAAAGAAAUCCUUGGCCCUAAUACGGUCGGGGGAUGACGGUACCGGAAGAAUAAGCACCGGCUAACUACGUG